Molecule: ribosomal RNA, 450 nt
Filed under: uncultured bacterium
Lineage: Bacteria
Description: bacterial SSU rRNA
Rfam family: Bacterial small subunit ribosomal RNA
Source: RNAcentral
GUAGGGAAUAUUGCACAAUGGGCGAAAGCCUGAUGCAGCGACGCCGCGUGAGUGAUGAAGGCCUUCGGGUCGUAAAGCUCUGUUGUACGGGAAGAAAUGCGGAUGGCUAAUAUCCAUCCGAGUUGACGGUACCGUAUCAGAAAGGACCGGCUAACUUCGUGCCAGCAGCCGCGGUAAGACGAGGGGUCCUAGCGUUGUUCGGAAUCACUGGGCGUAAAGCGUAUGUAGGCGGGCUUUUAAGUCGGGUGUGAAAUCCCACGGCUCAACCGUGGAAUUGCAUUCGAAACUGAAAGUCUUGAGUGUGGGAGAGAUUGGUAGAAUACCUGGUGUAGUGGUGAAAUACGUAGAUAUCAGGUGGAAUACCGGUGGCGAAGGCGGCCAAUUGGCCCAACACUGACGCUGAGAUACGAAAGCGUGGGGAUCAAACAGGAUUAGAUACCCUGGUAGUCC